UGCGUAGGUGGUAUGGUAAGUCAGAUGUGAAAACUUGAGGCUCAACUUCAAGAUUGCAUCUGAAACUACUAAACUAGAGUGCAGGAGAGGAAAGCGGAAUUCCGAGUGUAGCGGUGAAAUGCGUAGAUAUUCGGAGGAACACCAGUAGCGAAGGCGGCUUUCUGGACUGUAACUGACACUGAGGCACGAAAGCGUGGGGAGCGAACA
Molecule: ribosomal RNA, 207 nt
Filed under: uncultured bacterium
Lineage: Bacteria
Description: partial 16S ribosomal RNA
Rfam family: Bacterial small subunit ribosomal RNA
Source: RNAcentral